Molecule: ribosomal RNA, 253 nt
Filed under: uncultured bacterium
Lineage: Bacteria
Description: partial 16S ribosomal RNA
Rfam family: Bacterial small subunit ribosomal RNA
Source: RNAcentral
UACGUAGGGUGCAAGCGUUGUCCGGAAUUAUUGGGCGUAAAGAGCUCGUAGGCGGUUUGUCGCGUCUGCUGUGAAAACUCGGGGCUCAACUUCGAGCUUGCAGUGGGUACGGGCAGGCUAGAGUGCGGUAGGGGAGACUGGAAUUCCUGGUGUAGCGGUGGAAUGCGCAGAUAUCAGGAGGAACACCGGUGGCGAAGGCGGGUCUCUGGGCCGUAACUGACGCUGAGGAGCGAAAGCGUGGGGAGCGAACAGG